GAAAGAUAAGAAGCUUUGCUAUUUCAUGAAGAAAAUGGAUUGUCCUUCCACGACUUCUGAUUUUAUCCAACUCACAUAUUCUAAGAAAGGUUAAAAUUAAGGCCCUAUUAUCUUUACUUUGAUUUUGCUUUGUUUUUUUACCCCUUCAGACUUACAUUUUAAUUUUAUUUUUGAGUUAUGAGUUUUUAAUAAAAGCCUUACACACAAUUCAGAAAAUUCUGCUCAUUUAUUCUUUCAACAAAUGUGCAUCAUGCUCUAUGAAUUGUGAUAUCCUCUGGCAGGUCAUACACUCUGAUAGGUGCUACAGUAGAACAGCAGAGAAAACACAACCUCAGUUUAUGUUUUAGUGGAGAUAGUUAACACAAGAUAAACAAGUAGGUAUAUAAUUUGCUCGUGAUAAAUAUUAACAAGAAAUGUAAUAUUACACAGGUGAAGAAAAAUUAGGAAUAACACAACUGAAAAAUGUGAUGCUCUGGAGUAUAGCUGAGGAAAUUCUCAAUAAAGAUGGCUUUGAGUAUAGGUAAUGGGGGACAAAUCAUGUUGGUCUUUAUGAGUCACUGUAAAGUCUUUGCCUUCUAUUUGGGCAUGAUAGGAUGUUACUGGGGUGGUUUUGAACAGAAUGAUGAUAUAGAGUGGUACAUAUUUAAAGUAAAUAUUUCAGACUCUUAUGUUGAGAAUGUAUUUAAAGGUAAGGCUGGAGGCAGAAGACAAAUUUAGGAGGCUGACGUAAUAUACCAGGCAAGAGAUUAUAGUGACAUAAAUUGGAAUGGUAGCAGGGGAGGCAGUGAAAAAUAGUCAAACUCUGGAUAUAUUUUAAAGGUCAGGAAGACAAGAUUGACUGACAGGAAGGGUAGCAUAAGAGGAUGGGAGGGAAGUGGGAAAUGAACAAGUGGAAUUGAUGAAUCAAAGAUGACUCCUUGAUUUGUUUGCCUCACCGAUGGGGAAAUGGGGUUUCCAGUUCUGAGAUAAGGAAGAGCUGGGAAAGCAUUUAACAGAACCUUAAUUUGAAAUAUAUUCUAUAUGAAAUAUCUAUCAAAUUCUAAAUUCAGAUGCUAAGUAGAUAUAUGCAAUCGUCUGAAGGUCUGAGGAGGGAUCCAGUCAGAAAAUAAACUUGGGCAUUGACCAAUAAACACAUAAUUGUGAGAUCUUCAACAGAGUGAUGAUAAGGUGAGGAGAGACCCAUGAACAAACUUCACGUACUUGAAACUUCUAAGGCUGAGAAGAAAAAAAAGAAGGUGACAAAGAAGAAUGAGAUGGAGCUGGGAACCAACCUGGAGAAAAAUCAGAAGGCAAGUGAGGAAGUAUCAGUAGUCAUCAAACUCUAUCAAGUAAGGUGAUGACUGAGUCAAGGCUUUAAAAUAAUCUAAGAUGAGGCUUAGCGAUAGUGAGAUCACUGGGUUUGUUUUCUUUCCUUCUCUGGAGAUUACUGGAGAUUUAAUCAAUGGGCACUUAACCACUGAGAAACACCCUAGACCUUUUUUUUAUUCAUUUUUUAAAUUUUUGAGACGAGGACUGGCUAAGUUGCUGAAGCUGGCUUUGAACUUGAGAUCUUCCUGCCUCAGCCUCCUAAGCUUCUGGGAUUACAGGUGUGGGCACCAUGCCCAGCUAAGAUCACUAGUUAUUUAUUAAUUUUUUUGACAGUAGCUAAUGUGUUAGAGUGGUAAGGCAAACCCUACCUAUAUGUUCAGGAACGAAUGGAAAUACGUAACCUAGAAAUGGUGAUAUACCACUCUUUGAAGGAUUUUGGUUAAAAAUAACAGUAGAGAGAGGGAGAGAUUUCGAAUAAGGGAAUUAAAAUUUUUUAUUAGUUUAUUACAGAUAUACACAAUAUUAGAGUUCAUUUUGGCAUAAUUAUAUAAGCAUUGAAUAUGAUUUUCUGCAAUUUGGUCCUCUUUUCUUCUUUCUCUCCUCCCUCUUCCAUUCUUUCUUCUACUUGGCUGAUAUUUCUUUUAUUUAUUUAUAAUUUUAAAAAAUUAGUGCAUUAUGGAUGUACAUAAAGGUGAGAUUCAUUGUGGCAUAUUCAUGUAUGUAUUUAGGAAAGUCUGAUCAGAUUCAUUUCACCGUUCUUCCUUUUUCCUGCCUCUCUUCCCUCUACCUCAAGCAGAGAUUUUUCUCUGUGUAAGAUACGGAAAAUAUUAUGAUUGAAAUAUGUUAUUACAUUUUUUUAUAUUAGGAAGAAUAUUUUGGAGCAUAAUUUUUGAUUAUGGAAGAGUAAUAGUGAAGAGAAUUUGCAGAGAACACCCAGAGAAGAAAUGGUAUUUUGUAUUAAAGGCAGCUUUAAUGAGAAACAUAGAAAUACUGUUCCUACAGAGCUACAAUUUGACCCAGUUGUCCCAUUCUUCAGCAUAUAGAUCCAAAAGAAUUAAAAUCAGUAUACAACAGUAACACAGCUAUUCACAAUAGCUGAGUGACAGAACCAACCUAGAUGCCCAUCAAUAGAUGAAUGGAUAAAAAAAAUUGUGGUAUGUAUACAUAAUGGAAUAUUACUCAGUCACAAAGAAUAAUGGCUUUCUGACAUUUGCCAGUAAAAAG
RNAcentral lists this long non-coding RNA (2532 nucleotides) under Marmota monax (woodchuck). The record is from RNAcentral. Lineage: Eukaryota; Metazoa; Chordata; Mammalia; Rodentia; Sciuridae.